RNAcentral lists this ribosomal RNA (113 nucleotides) under Caerostris darwini. Lineage: Eukaryota; Metazoa; Arthropoda; Arachnida; Araneae; Araneidae. The record is from RNAcentral.
AACGGCCGUACCAUGCUGAAUAUACCAGUUCUCGUUAGAUCACCGAAGUCAAGCAUCAUUGGGCGCGGUCAGUACUUGAGUGGGGGAUCACCUAGGAACACCGCGUGCUGUUG